Molecule: ribosomal RNA, 497 nt
Filed under: uncultured bacterium
Lineage: Bacteria
Description: partial 16S ribosomal RNA
Rfam family: Bacterial small subunit ribosomal RNA
Source: RNAcentral
GAUGAACGCUGGCGGCGUGCCUAAUACAUGCAAGUCGAGCGAACAGACGAGGAGCUUGCUCCUCUGACGUUAGCGGCGGACGGGUGAGUAACACGUGGAUAACCUACCUAUAAGACUGGGAUAACUUCGGGAAACCGGAGCUAAUACCGGAUAAUAUAUUGAACCGCAUGGUUCAAUAGUGAAAGACGGUUUUGCUGUCACUUAUAGAUGGAUCCGCGCCGCAUUAGCUAGUUGGUAAGGUAACGGCUUACCAAGGCAACGAUGCGUAGCCGACCUGAGAGGGGGAUCGGCCACACUGGAACUGAGCCACGGUCCAGACUCCUACGGGAGGCAGCAGUAGGGAAUCUUCGGCAAUGGGCGAAAGCCUGACGGAGCAACGCCGCGUGAGUGAUGAAGGUCUUCGGAUCGUAAAACUCUGUUAUUAGGGAAGAACAAAUGUGUAAGUAACUAUGCACGUCUUGACGGUACCUAAUCAGAAAGCCACGGCUAACUACGUG